RNAcentral lists this transfer RNA (72 nucleotides) under Bos taurus (domestic cattle). It matches the Rfam family "tRNA". Rfam says of the family: Transfer RNA (tRNA) molecules are approximately 80 nucleotides in length. Lineage: Eukaryota; Metazoa; Chordata; Mammalia; Artiodactyla; Bovidae. RNAcentral also lists the same sequence under 4 other names. The record is from Rfam by way of RNAcentral.
UCUCUGGUGGCUCAGUGGUAAAGAAUCUGCCUGCCAGUGCAGGAGACGCAGGUUCAAUUCCUGGUCCGGGAA